This 281-nucleotide long non-coding RNA is filed under the name Citrus x clementina. Its description in RNAcentral is "Citrus clementina (C. clementina) long non-coding RNA (CCLE_LNC001665)". The record is from RNAcentral. Lineage: Eukaryota; Viridiplantae; Streptophyta; Magnoliopsida; Sapindales; Rutaceae.
UUUAAUUAAGUUAAUAAAAUAAGCAGACUCAAUAACUUAACUGAUUCAAAUUAAGUGAGUUAAGUUAUUAAGUAAAAAAAAAAAAAACAGCCCAUCUUAAGAGAACUUAAUGAAUCUUAUCCUCAAAAUAUGAGUGGCAGUAAGGCAUAAAAGGAGAAUAUUAUAAUGAAAAUGAAAGGCAAACGCAUGUAACUACAAGUUAAUAAUAAAGGAAAUUCCAUAUUUGAAAAAAGUUAGCAUCUUUUAAACAAGAAAGUUCAAGUCUUAAACAGACUAGGAGA